Molecule: long non-coding RNA, 2007 nt
Organism: Haemorhous mexicanus (house finch)
Lineage: Eukaryota; Metazoa; Chordata; Aves; Passeriformes; Fringillidae
Exons: 4
Source: RefSeq, a predicted model, not a curated record
GGCGGCGGGAGCAGAGUGGGACCGGUGCCUCAGAGGAACCGGGACCGGGACCGGCUUCGGCCUCUCCUGGCGGGGCCAUGGGGAGCCCCUGUGUCCCUCAGGCGCAGGAAACCGGUGCUGGUAGAGGCGGCUCCACAGCUGCGCCUUCCCCCGCCGUGAUCUGGCGAGGCUCCCUCAGGGCCGGUGCCGCUCUCCGCCGGCCCCGGCGCUGAGCGGCUGCGGCGGGAGCACCGGAGCGAGCCUGGCAGUGGAAAAAAAAUGAAGUGACCAGGAUGGUGUGACUUCAGAAAGGAAGGGUGAUCCCACAGAAAAAGGCUGCCCAAGAAGCUUCAGCCCCCUUGCUAACUAGGCAGCCCUGAGCCAAGGCAGACCCGGAGGAGCCCAGCCCAGGUGAGCUGCAGUGCUGGGAGCUGCCAGCCCAGCCCAGGUGAGCUGCAGUGCUGGGAGCUGCCAGCCCUGCCCCAGCUCGUGUUGCAGGCGUGGCUGCAGUGCCACGGCUGUGUCAUUCGGUGGCAGACAGCAACAGGCGAGGUCUUCCCUGGUGCUCUGAGCCCUGUGAGCUCUCAGGAUUGCUCAACAACCUGACACUUCCUGUUCCCUUCCUGCUCUCUUGCCUUUAAUGGGGAAUGGUGGCGGGUGGACGCUGUCCUUCAGUCCCUCCCUUCAUCAGGGACACCUUUUGCAAUGCCAGCUUGCUCCAAGCCCUGUGCACAGGUGUCCCUGUACCCAAAUGGUGCUGUGUGUCACUGUCCCUUCUUGAGGGACACAGAAACCGAGUGAGAGCAGCUCUGGGCAUGCAGAGAUGGUGACCCUGAGCUUUCAGUGAGUGACUCUGGCUCUGCUGAAUGGGAAACCUCAUUAAAUGGCCAUUACAGGCCAGAGGGGCCUCAGUGGUGCCAAGUGAGCCCCUUAAUUGGUCAAAGUCACUGGCUUUGGAACAGAAUGUUGAUGAGGUUGUGGGGAUGUGGUUAUGCUUGAGGAUGUGGCUCUUUUAUUUAAAUUUCUUGACUUAUUUUAACCCUGCAAUCCAUGUUUGGGUUUUUUUAUCAGGCUUUCCUCACUCCAGGGCUCCUGCGUGGGCACUGAGUGCUAAUGAGUAUCUCUUCAGAACUCCCUGUGUGAGGCACAGCAGAGCCAUGACCCUUUUCCUGAUGGCAUUUACUGGAACUGCCCUUCCCCAAGCAGCCCUCCAGGGCCACGGGUGUUGCUUUGCUGAAGGAAAAACUGGCUCUCAGCUGUGGAAAACGUGAAUGUUUUACAUAAAAAUGGUUUAGAGAGAAAUUAAAAAUCUCUCUGCACAUAGCACAGCCCGUCAUCAUCAAGGACUGGUUUAUGUCAUGGCUUUAAAGGCUGGAACAAGCUCAGAUUUUUUUUUUUUUCCUGCACUAUUAAUAGCUUGGCUCUGCACCAAGGUUGGCAAACUCACCUUGGAUUUUUAGGGAGUGAUGGAAUAACCCAGAGCAGGCUCCAGCUAUCCUGCUCUUAAAUUAUCCCUUCCCUAAUCUUCCCCCAGCCAGAUAAUUUUCCAAAACCCUUCUGAUGUCGUGCCAAAGAGCUUCUCCUAAAUUUGUGCCAUGUCCUCCUGGACUGAAGGGAAUCCCUGUGUCAAAGUUUCCUUGUGAACCCUGAUAACAGAGCCUUGAAAUGUGGUUUCAUUUUAUAUUUCAUCUUUAUUUCCUCUGAGUUGAGAAAACUCUUGAGACAAUCCCAAGACAAUGAGGGCAGCAGAGUCUGGAUGGCAAGGGUUAAUUAGCUGAUUAGUACUGACUUUAUUGCUCCCUUUUCUUGCCUGUUUUUCAACUUUUCUGACGUCCUGGGCCCUAUUUUUUUAUUUGCAGAUUAUGCCUUGAGCUGCAGAACGUCUGACAAACUGAGAACUGGUUGGCAGCUUCCACGUCUGAUGGCUUGGAGAUUCCUAAAACUUGAUCAUCUGUGUUUUCUCUACAUGGUUAAGAAGGAUUUAAAUAAAAAAAAAACUAAAUAAAGAUGCCACCUACAAGACUGAAA